RNAcentral lists this ribosomal RNA (429 nucleotides) under uncultured bacterium. RNAcentral's name for it is "bacterial SSU rRNA". It matches the Rfam family "Bacterial small subunit ribosomal RNA", at positions 29 to 437 of the family's 1533-position model. The record is from RNAcentral.
AAUGAACGCUGGCGGCGUGCUUAACACAUGCAAGUCGCACGAGAACGCUUCAGCUUGCUGAAGCUAGUAAAGUGGCGUACGGGUGAGUAACGCGUGGGUAAUCUAUCUCUGAAUUGGGGAUAACAUUGCGAAAGCGAUGCUAAUACCGGAUAAUAUCCAUUAAACCUUGGUUUUUUGGAUCAAAGGUGGCCUCUACAUGUAAGCUACUGUUUGGAGACGAGCCCGCGUACCAUUAGCUUGUUGGUAGGGUAACGGCUUACCAAGGCAACGAUGGUUAGCUGGUCUGAGAGGAUGAUCAGCCACACUGGAACUGACACACGGUCCAGACUCCUACGGGAGGCAGCAGUGAGGAAUUUUGCGCAAUGGGGGAAACCCUGACGCAGCAACGCCGCGUGAGUGAUGAAGGCUUUCGGGUCGUAAAGCUCUGUC